RNAcentral lists this ribosomal RNA (188 nucleotides) under uncultured Methanomicrobiales archaeon. Its description in RNAcentral is "partial 16S ribosomal RNA". It matches the Rfam family "Archaeal small subunit ribosomal RNA", at positions 1151 to 1338 of the family's 1478-position model. Lineage: Archaea; Methanobacteriati; Methanobacteriota; Methanomicrobia; Methanomicrobiales. The record is from RNAcentral.
AUGCCCCGAAUUAUCUGGGCUACACGCGGGCUACAAUGGGUGGGACAAUGGGUAUCGACACCGAAAGGUGAAGGCAAUCUCCUAAACCCAUCCGUAGUUCGGAUUGUGGGCUGCAACUCGCCCACAUGAAGCUGGAAUCUGUAGUAAUCGUGUCUCAAAAUGGCACGGUGAAUAUGUCCCUGCUCCUU